GAUACACUGUCUACCUGAUUAGAACAAGACGGUCCAGCAAGCUCAGUCUCAAUCACGAUUGCUUUUUGUUUGUCCAAAGAACUGCGUGAAGACAAUGAUGAAAACGAGAAUGAACUAGCACGAGGUGAUCUGCGAGGGAGGCUGAGAUGUGGUAUGGCUUGCAUGACACCGUUUACUAUCCCUGAAGCAAACUUCUUCUUUGUUGUUGGACUUGGAAGGUCACUACUAGCAGAGAGUGUUCGUUUGUGGCUCGAGAGUGAUGAAGGCUUGGAGUACCUUUCUCGUAUGAGAAUGAACUAGCACGAGGUGAUCUACGAGGGAGGCUGAGAUGUGGUAUGGCUUGCAUGACACCGUUUACUAUCCCUGAAGCAAACUUCUUCUUUGCUGUUGGACUUGGAAUGUUACUACUAGCAGAGAGCGUCCGUUUGUGGCUGGAGAAUGAUGAAGGCUUGG
Molecule: long non-coding RNA, 453 nt
Filed under: Nicotiana benthamiana
Lineage: Eukaryota; Viridiplantae; Streptophyta; Magnoliopsida; Solanales; Solanaceae
Description: long non-coding RNA (NBEN_LNC004217)
Source: RNAcentral